This 468-nucleotide ribosomal RNA is filed under the name uncultured bacterium. RNAcentral's name for it is "partial 16S ribosomal RNA". It matches the Rfam family "Bacterial small subunit ribosomal RNA", at positions 28 to 507 of the family's 1533-position model. The record is from RNAcentral.
GACGAACGCUGGCGGCGUGCUUAACACAUGCAAGUCGAACGGAAAGGCCCUGCUUUUGUGGGGUGCUCGAGUGGCGAACGGGUGAGUAACACGUGAGUAUCCUGCCCUUGACUUUGGGAUAACUUCAGGAAACUGGGGCUAAUACCGGAUAGGAGCUCCUGCUGCAUGGUGGGGGUUGGAAAGUUUCGGCGGUUGGGGAUGGAAUCGAGGCUUCUCAGCUUGUUUGUGGGGUAGUUGCUUACCAAGGCUUUGACGGGUAGGCGGCCUGAGAGGGUGACCGGGGACAUUGGGACUGAGGGACGGCGCAGACGCGUACGGUAGGCAGCAGGGGGGAAUAUUGCAGAAUGGGCGGAAGUGUGAUGCAGCAACGCCGCGUGCGGGAUGACGGCUUUCGGGGUGUAAACCGCUUUCGACUGUGACGAAGCGUGAGUGACGGUAAUGGGUAAAGAAGCACCGGCUAACUACGUG